Molecule: ribosomal RNA, 497 nt
Filed under: uncultured bacterium
Lineage: Bacteria
Description: partial 16S ribosomal RNA
Rfam family: Bacterial small subunit ribosomal RNA
Source: RNAcentral
GAUGAACGCUGGCGGCGUGCCUAAUACAUGCAAGUCGAGCGAACAGACGAGGAGCUUGCUCCUCUGACGUUAGCGGCGGACGGGUGAGUAACACGUGGAUAACCUAUCUAUAAGACUGGGAUAACUUCGGGAAACCGGAGCUAAUACCGGAUAAUAUAUUGAACCGCAUGGUUCAAUAGUGAAAGACGGCUUUGCUGUCACUUAUAGAUGGAUCCGCGCCGCAUUAGCUAGUUGGUAAGGUAACGGCUUACCAAGGCAACGAUGCGUAGCCGACCUGAGAGGGUGAUCGGCCACACUGGAACUGAGACAAGGUCCGGACUCCUACGGGAAGCAGCAGUAGGGAAUCUUCCGCAAUGGGCGAAAGCUUGACGGAACAACGCCGCGUGAGUGAUGAAGGUCUUCGGAUCGUAAAACUCUGUUAUUAGGGAAGAACAAAUGUGUAAGUAACUAUGCACGUCUUGACAGUACCUAAUCAGAAAGCCACGGCUAGCUACGUG